GACGAACGCUGGCGGCGUGCUUAACACAUGCAAGUCGAGCGGUAAGGCCCUUUCGGGGGUACACGAGCGGCGAACGGGUGAGUAACACGUGGGUGACCUGCCCUCAGCUCUGGGAUAAGCCUGGGAAACUGGGUCUAAUACUGGAUAUGACUCCACGGUGCAUGUCGUGGGGUGGAAAGCCUUGUGCGGCUGAGGAUGGGCCCGCGGCCUAUCAGCUUGUUGGUGGGGNGAUGGCCUACCAAGGCGACGACGGGUAGCCGGCCUGAGAGGGCGACCGGCCACACUGGGACUGAGACACGGCCAGACUCCUACGGGAGGCAGCAGUGGGGAAUCUUGCGCAAUGGGCGAAAGCCUGACGCAGCGACGCCGCGUGA
Molecule: ribosomal RNA, 374 nt
Filed under: uncultured bacterium
Lineage: Bacteria
Description: bacterial SSU rRNA
Rfam family: Bacterial small subunit ribosomal RNA
Source: RNAcentral